UAGUUUUGAAAAAUAACUGCUCCGCUGCAGUCACCUCAGGACCAACUUCCCUCUGGUAUAGUUUAUUUGCUUGUUAUGUAACCUAAGCUUGCCUUCAGGUGCAGUUCUGUAAACCUGAAUGAAUCUGAGGGUAAAAUAGUUUUAUAUUAACAUGAAUCAGAUUCGUGUGUGCAUUCUUUAAGAGGGAUUCAAAGGGAUUUUUAACCAGGAAGGCAUCUUUAUUAGUAGAACUCAGACGAGUCAGCAACAAGCUGAUCGCUGCAUAAACUUAUAAAGGGGAUUGUUUAACUCUGCUAAAGUAAACCUUCCCACACUAUCAGCCCUAGACAGCAGAUCCGGGAUGUCAGAUGUCAUGGAGUAGGGGGAGGAGGGCAGCUGGAAUCUAGCAGCAACAUCUGGAGUGUUAGACACAUUAAACAAGGUGAUUUAGCAUCAUAACACUGGGUAACUAGUCAGGAGUUUGUCCUGACCCUGAUUGUGAAUGGCCAGAACUAGCCACUCACUGUCUAGUGUGGAAAGUGGAGCAAAGGACCUUUUUAGGAGAGCAGACCCUGGGAUCAGUUCUGCACACAAAAUGAAAAAUUGUGUCACUGUGUGGAAAGAGAAGUAACCGGCUGUGACCUUUGUCUGUAAGAAAGGCUUUCCGACUGAGAAGUGCCAAAAUAGCCUCAAAAUGUGUGGCUGGUGGACACAAUCUGCGAGGAGGAGGAGGAGGCCCUUACCUGCAUCUGGAGAGCUUACUCUCAUUUGCUUGGCACCUAAAGGUGUAUAAUGAAGGCACCAGGUGAGCCUCACUUGAGAAAAUAAAACCCCUUUUAUAAAACUUCCUCCUGUUCUUGGUGCCUGCUGGUGAACCCAGAAACAUGGCACCUCUUCCUUCACCCCUUUUAUUGGAAAUGCAGGCAGGGCAUUGCGAGAAAGAGGGAGAGAGGCAAUGUCUUCUGCUCUGAAUCUCUCUCACUGUGUGCGUGUGUGUGUGUGUGUGUGUGUGUGUGUGUGUGUGUUGUGGGGCAGGCGGGGGGCAGAGAGAGUUAAAGGCCAAAGGCCUGGUUAUAGAAGAUACCUUUUCACCUGGUGCCUAAAAACAUAUGGUGAUCGUGCUAGUUCAACUAUACAACUGUGAAGCCUCUUCUAUCUUGGUAACAGAGGAUAUUUGUCUGUGAAAGAAAGAGUUCUGCGUCUUGUCAGGGAGAUUGAGAAUCUUAAGUUCCUCUUAUGCUUUUAUCCUUUUUUUUUUGGUUAUAGAUCACUUUUUCCAAAUUCAUUAUUUUUUUUUAACAUUUCAGUUUAAUAUUUGUUAUAAAUGAGGGGCAAUAUCUCCUUUUCAAGGGGAAUUAAGCAUAAUAAGUUUAUGUUGUAGUUUAUCUGGGUCUGGGGUAACUUCUAUUUCUGCUUGUCAUACUUUUGUUUUGUAAAAAUUCGGCCGUAUCUGUGCUACACAUGUAAAGGUCUAGGAUACCGUUUUUGAAUAAUGAGAAUGGGGCUCUCUCAGGAUGAAUCCCCCACCCUCCAGCUCUCAUUCCCCAGGCCCCAACCCACCAUAGCCUCAUACUCCUUCCAGUAUUGGAGGCAGCCUAGCUUACCUCAGAGGGUUAUUGCCAGGAUAAUUUGGACAGGGAUAGCACACCAUGUAUAACACCUUGAGUUCCUUGGAGGAAAGGUGGGGUUUUCAAGUGAAAAUAAAGCAGCAAGGAAGACCCCCUGAGAGUACAAAUGUGCUUUUUGGAAGCUGCCUAGAGGUGGUGAGUAGCCAGGUGGAGAGAGAAGGUGUAGCCCACACCCUAAAAUGAAAAGGCAAGAACUUUCAAACCACUGGAACCACUAACACACAAUGACUAAAGGAGGAACAGCCGGCCAGCCAACACCUUGGGCAGGGAGGUGAGUUUUCAUGAGGUGGUGGAAACCGGAUCACAAUCAGAGCCCACUUUAUUCCCUUUGAUUCCCACAGCGAUGCGAGGCUGGGGGUGUGAAACUGUUAAGGGAAGCCCAGAUCCAGCUGCCCUGGCCCUCCUGGUGAGGGGUAAAUCAAGGGGCAGGACAGGUGCUUGGAAGUUGGAUGAAGAUACCAAGUGGUGACAUGGGCCUGAGAUGGAGAGAGAGAGAGAGAGCCCACAGUCCAUUGGGCGAGGCCUUGGCCAAGAGCUGACUUCACAAUGGGCUGUGGAAUGUUUUGUUUCCCAGGAAAACAGGUGAGUUGUUUGAAAGGAUCCUGAGAUCAGUUAAAAGCUCAUUCAGCUGUCUCCUUCAGAUCAGUUGACACCAGAGAUGUCUUGCUGCUUUAGAGAACUGUCUUUUUUGGAUCAGUUGGCAUCGGAAACAUCUGUCUCCUUCUGACAACUAUCUUUGGCACAGUUGAAAGCCCAGACAAUGGUCUUCUGCCUCCCCUGCUGCCACAGAAGGUAAGGUAAGCAGGUAAGCGGGGAAGAGGGGAGACAUUCUGAAGCCUUGUUCUUCUCCCCACCCCAUGGACAGUUUUUAAAGAUGCUCCUUGAUUUUUUGACCUUCAUAAAUUCCAUGUUCCCAGGGAGUGUUCCAGUUAUUUUUCUGAGUUUUUUUUUUGUUUGUCUCCAUCCAAAUGGCAGGAGAAUUACCACCUCCCCGCCCCCCAUCAGUAAAAUGCUGUCCAGGCUGGGAAAGGGCCAUUGCUCAGUAGUGGAGCCUGUGUUUUUGCAUGCAAAUUCCCUGAUGUCAUUUCCAGGCAGGGCUGGGAACAGCCCCUAGAGAGCUGCUUCUGCCAGUCAGUGUAAACCAUAGGGAGCUAGAUGUGCUAAUAUGGUUUGAGUCAGUAGAAGACAGCUUCCUGUGUUCUCAUUUAAAUCAGCCCUUUGGGACUGUGAGGACUAGAAUCUUAUAUUGUAUUUAGGCAGGGGAGAAACUAGGCUUUAUUUCCCCCGGGUCAAAGACCCAGUUUGGCACCCCACCCAGCCCCCCAUGCAGUGGCGUAGCGUGGGGGGUGCAGGGGGGGCCGGCCGCACCGGGCGCAACAUCUGGGGGGGGGCGCGCUCGCACUCGCAGCUCUCUGCCCCUACCUGGCUCACUCACUCUCUCUCACUGCAGUGCUGGCUGUGUGAAUCCGAUCCGAGCCGCUGGGUCGCUGCCCACUGUGGAGGGGGUGGGUGCCAGGCGUGCGGUGCGGAGAGAGAGCGAGGGACUAUCUGGGGGAGGGACAGUGCAGCGGCCGCCCAGAGCAGCGCUGAGCGCGGGAGAGAACCACACCAGACCAGACCAGGCAGCAGCAAGAAGAAGCUGGCAGCGGCGGCAGGUUAGGGGUUAGGGGGCGCAAAUUACUUGCCUUGCCCCGGGUGCUGACAACCCACGCUACGCCACUGCCCCCAUGCACAAAGGACUGGAAAGGAAAGACUCCUGCCUGAGGCCCUGGAGUGCCACCUUCUAGUCAGCGUGGAGGUGGACCAAUGAUCUUACUGGACAAAGCAGCUCCUUAAGGCCCCACCAGGGGUGACUCUUUGGGCAUCGCUCCCAGUCCAGGAAGAGAGCGAGAUCCAUUUCUCCUUGAAAGGCAGAAACCAACUCUACUUUAAAAACAAAACCUACUUUAGCUGCAUUGUUUCCGAACCCUGGUGGGAUUUGGCGUCUAUCUGAUGUUCCUCCCCUUUCUGCCUUCUUUGUGCACAGCUGUUUAUGAUGGAGGCCUCUCACCUGCGGUUCCUGCACAUCCCAACUGUCCUUCCCCAACCUUGGAGAGUUUCUAAAGAUCCCAAAUAAGGCUGCUUCUCUUGCUCAACUGGAGACCCUCCAGACUGUUGUGCAGGCCAUCGCCUCAUCGUGGGUCCCUCCCCCCAGCUCAUAGGCCUCGCUCAGGAGGACAAUUGGAGGACAGCAAUAGAUGAGCCCUGCAGCAACUGGAUCAGGCCCAAGGAACCCUGCUAGAGUGGCAGCCUGUUCUCAAAAGGGCCUACAAGCAGCCUGGCAAGACACCAAUGAUAAAAAGGGAGACCAUAAAACCACGUUUCCUCAUUCAAAGGUGGGAAACUGCACAGGCCAGUCCUGGUGUAUAGACUCUUCCUCCGUCUUGUCUCUCUUCAGAUCCACAAGUGCUCUACCACUUCGUUGACACUUCAGAAGUGGCACCCCAGGUAUAUAAGUUGGUGGUGUCCAGCCCUUAUGAAAGGUGGCAGGGGCUUAAGCCACAAAUGGAUCAGAUUUGGAGCCAGACUAUUCUGUGUGUGGCUGUUGCACAUUCAUCCUCCACUUCCCUGCUUUUUCAGUCAUGGAUUCGGCUAUUCGGCUGCUUGCUGUCCAGCUGUGGGUGAAGCUUGACAAGAUGCCUCCAGCCUGAGUUUGGGAAGGUUUUGAAGCUCCCACCACAGUCCUCCACCAAGAGAAGCGGACAGCAGCCACCCCAUAAGAAGGGAGCAGCCCCCCCCCAAGAGACGAGAGCAUCUCUAUACUCCCAGAGUAUCUGUUUCUUUAAAACAUAUGAGCUUUUUUUUCUUUUCUUUUAUUAAUAUUUUCAUUUAUUUUCCAAAUUACAGUAACAACAAUAAAACAACAAAUUGUCCAACAACAAACAACAAAAACUUGUCCUGGUAUUUGUACAGACUUGUAUCAUUAUAAUAAAGUUUCAUUGAAUUAUUCC
Podarcis lilfordi (Lilford's wall lizard) is the source of this 4597-nucleotide non-coding RNA. Lineage: Eukaryota; Metazoa; Chordata; Lepidosauria; Squamata; Lacertidae. The record is from the annotation of a GenBank genome assembly.